RNAcentral lists this transfer RNA (87 nucleotides) under Haematococcus lacustris. RNAcentral describes it as "tRNA-Sec". It matches the Rfam family "Selenocysteine transfer RNA". The record is from RNAcentral. Lineage: Eukaryota; Viridiplantae; Chlorophyta; Chlorophyceae; Chlamydomonadales; Haematococcaceae.
GCCAUGGUGACCGUGGGUGGCCCUACGCGCGGACUUCAAAUCUGUGGGGGACUGACGUCCCAGGAGUUCAAUUCUCCCUCCGUGGCG